GCUUACGGCCAUACCACCCUGAGAACGCCCGAUUUCGUCUGAUCUCGGAAGCUAAGCAGUGUCGGGCCUGGUUAGUACUUGGAUGGGAGACCGCCUGGGAAUACCAGGUGCUGUAAGCG
RNAcentral lists this ribosomal RNA (119 nucleotides) under Betta splendens (Siamese fighting fish). Lineage: Eukaryota; Metazoa; Chordata; Actinopteri; Anabantiformes; Osphronemidae. The record is from RNAcentral.